GGGCACCUACGGGGCGCAGCAGUCGAGAAUCAUUCACAAUGGGGGAAACCCUGAUGGUGCGACGCCGCGUGGGGGAAUGAAGGUCUUCGGAUUGUAAACCCCUGUCAUGUGGGAGCAAAUUAAAAAGAUAGUACCACAAGAGGAAGAGACGGCUAACUCUGUGCCAGCAGCCGCGGUAAUACAGAGGUCUCAAGCGUUGUUCGGAAUCGCUGAGCGUAAAGCGUGCGUAGGCUGUUUCGUAAGUCGUGUGGGAAAGGCGCGGGCUCAACCCGCGGACAGCACAUGAUACUGCGAGACUAGAGUAA
RNAcentral lists this ribosomal RNA (305 nucleotides) under uncultured bacterium. RNAcentral describes it as "bacterial SSU rRNA". It matches the Rfam family "Bacterial small subunit ribosomal RNA", at positions 333 to 649 of the family's 1533-position model. The record is from RNAcentral.